AUUAGCGGCGGACGGGUGAGUAACACGUGGGCAACCUGCCUGUAAGACUGGGAUAACUUCGGGAAACCGGAGCUAAUACCGGAUGAUUCUUAUUAACACAUGUUGAUAAGCUAAAAGACGGCGCAAGCUGUCACUUACAGAUGGGCCCGCGGCGCAUUAGCUAGUUGGUAAGGUAAUGGCUUACCAAGGCAACGAUGCGUAGCCGACCUGAGAGGGUGAUCGGCCACACUGGGACUGAGACACGG
This 245-nucleotide ribosomal RNA is filed under the name Chloropicon laureae. Its description in RNAcentral is "partial Bacterial small subunit ribosomal RNA". It matches the Rfam family "Bacterial small subunit ribosomal RNA", at positions 91 to 329 of the family's 1533-position model. The record is from RNAcentral. Lineage: Eukaryota; Viridiplantae; Chlorophyta; Chloropicophyceae; Chloropicales; Chloropicaceae.